GACAAGUGCUGCCCCUGCGGCUCCGCGACGCGCGCACUCUCCUCGCGCCCACCCGCGCGCCGGGCCGCGUACCCCCUGGCCCGGCGCCCCCGGACGGUGGACCCCGCCCCCAGAGGGGGCACCAGGUAACCCGCUUCCGAGAGUACCCCGGCAGCCCCAAUCCACACACCCCCGAGUCCUGGUAAAUCUCACGUUUUCUGCCGGCUCGAAAGGAAGAAUUGUAACGGCGAGGGGAGGUUCAUUUCGGCCUCGUGAAGUUUUCUUUCAAACUGGGAUUUGUGGUGAGGCCAGGCGAAAGGAGCGAGGCUGCUAUCCAGGCGCGCGACGCGGAGCUCCGGGAUCGGCGUCCUGGCCGGAGUCUGGGUGUGCGCGUGGACCCACCCACUCGGCUUCGCAAUUAACUGUGCCGUGCAAUUUCAGAAAAGGGCGCCGGAUAGACCGAGGAGAGAGGGGUCCUCGGGAAUGGAUUGAGAAGGAAAGUCAGGUGGUGGCAUUCUCUUUGAUGUGGUGUUCUCUUUUUAAGCAAGAUAUGGAACAAUGGUCUGUUUCUCCUGUCCACCUAGACUGGCACUAUGAAGAAGCAAGGAAGCCAUAAAUGGAACCAUAGUUCCAAAGAAAGCAUUCUAAGAUACCAAAUCCAAUUCAUAAGUAAGGCAUUUUCAUACCUCCCAACUUUGCCUCUGUGGCUACGUUGAUAGUCUGGGGUCUGGCUGGCUGGCAUGGGAGUCCCACAUGGUAGGAAUCUUCUCAUUCCAUCUGCCUUGAACAAUUGUUUCUUUUAACAAUUCUUGAAUGUCACUUUGCAAUUAGAUAAGGCUCUUGUGCCAAUAUCCAUGUCCCUAGAAAAGUAACAUAUUUAUGACUUAAAUUCACACCUUGAUAGAAUAAUAUCAGAUUUCUUCUAGAAAGCACAUUUUGAUGUAAAGCAGAUGAUAUCUCUAUCCCAAAUGAGAAUUGUAAAUUAUAAGCAUUAAACUUAGACUAAGGGGGUGAGGACUAGAGAUGUUUCUGAAGAAAAAAAGCACACAGUUUUAAAGAUGCAUUUAAACCUUUCAAAGUUGCUUUAAAAUGCAGAUGUGUUCAGCAUUUGAGGAAUUGAAUUCCAUUCAUGCAAAAAUGAAGAAACUUUGAGUUGGGUCAAAUGCAGAAAGAUGAUGUGCUCAAAAAAAUAACUCUAGGAGUUCCCGUUGUGGCUCAGAGGUUUCGGGUUUGAUCCCUGGCCUUGCUCAGUGGGUUGGGGAUCCGGUGUUGCCAUGAGCUGUGGUGUAGGUUGCAGACGUGGAUGGGAUCCUGUGUUGCUGUGGCUCUCUUUGUAAACUAAAAUUCUUUCACAACCAAGCAAAAUCUAAUCACAUGUUUAAAAAAUCCUGUAUAGACCAAAAAACAAAACCAAACCAAAAAAAACCACAUUAACAACAGAAAGCACAAAAAAGAAGCCAGGGAUUCAGCCUUCCUCUUUUAUAUAGCCAGAUGGUGGCAUCCUAGGGAAUUAAAAGCCAUACAGCCAUACCUGGAUAGAAUUGGAAAGUCAUUUCCUGCUUGAUGACUCUGAAAGAGGGCACUUGGUGUGGAAGGAGGGAAGUGAAUCAAAGAAAGGUCAUUUACAGGUAGUAACGUCAAAUGUCCUCCCCCAAAUUUCAUGGCUUGUGGUUUAGAGAAAGGUUAGCUUAAAAUAGAGGUUAGUGUGGCAUCUGAACUGUCCCAACACAUGAUAUACAAAGAUGAGAAUAACACCAUCGGUAAUCUCUCCCCCAGCAGCUAUGUUCAAGCUUCAAAAAGGUACUUUUUGACGUCAUGGUGAGGUACGAGACACCAGGGAAAGUCCUACUUAGUAUACUAAGGAUAUUAUCAAAAGGCCUUAGUUUUAGUUUAUGGGGCUGCUUCAUUAGAAGACUGUGUCUUUCAAGUAUACUCUUUUUGAAAGUUUUAGUUUAUGGGGCUGCUUCAUUAGAAGACUGUGUCUUUCAAGUAUACUCUUUUUGAGAAAUAAAUCCUCACACAGAAUCCAUACCACUUUAUUUUAUUUAUUUAUUUAUUAUUAUUAUUUUGUCUUUUUGCCUUUUCCAGGGCAGCUCCCGUGGCAUAUGGAGGUUCCCAGGCUAGGGAUCUAUGUCAGAACCACAGCAAUGCAGGAUCCGAGCGUUUGCGACCUUACACCACAGCUCACGGCAACGCUGGAUCCUUAACCCAAUGAGCAAGGCCAGGGAUCAAACCCGCAACCGCAUGGUUCCUAGUCGGAUUUGUUAACCAAUGAGCCAUGAUAGGAAUUCCCCUUACCACUUUAGAUUGAUGAUACAACUGAGUUCAACAAAGAAGUCAGGAUAUCAGUGGAACUAGGAAGACUAUGUAUCGUUAUUACCAUCACUAUAGGCAUUUAUUUUAUGCCAGGCAUCAUGAUAAGCUCAUUACAUGCAUUAUCUCAUUUAACCCCAACAGUCACUUUUAAGAGAGGUAAUAUUAGCUCCAUCUUUCACAUGAGGACAUUGAAGCUUGGAGACAUUAUUUUCUAGUCCAAGGUCCAAGUGUCAGAGCUGGACUCAAAGGUGUAUUUUAAGUUCUAGAAAGCCAAGGUAAUUGCCACCAGGCUAUACUGUCUCUUAAAUCCAGCCUUCUUAGUAACAUAGUGUCUAAUAUUGAACCAGUUGAAAGGAAACUGAAUGUCUGAGAUUUUCUUAGGAUGUUAUUCAAAUGUGCUAUCAGCAUAGAAUUCUACCAAACCCAGUGACUAUUUGUGAGGGAGACAUGACCGGUUUGACAUCCCAUGCUUUAACACUAGAUAUUGAUCUGUGCCUACCUUGAGCAAUUCUGAACAAGCAAAUGACAAGAGAACCACUGGGGGUGAAUUAAAGAAUAACUACUCUAUAAAGAAUUGAGUAAAGACAUAUGGAUAAGAACUUAACUUUCUUUAAAUUCUAGAUCACCAAGCCUAGUUGCACAUUUUUUUUUCAAAGGGGAUCGUCUCCGAUUUAUUGCUCUAAGAAAUGUUAGCAACAAACUCCCCUUUGCAGACUUAGUUCAUGUAUGUGUGCAAAGAAUGAGUGACUGACUUUCUGUGGUGAAAAUUGUGAUUUUAAAUAGUUAUAUUCUUAAAUGACAUUUUCAAAUUCAAGAAACAGGAUAUUUUGAGGGGAGAGCAGUUCUCAGUUUAUAGUAAAGGUCAAUUUGGACAUUUUGCUAGAACCCAUUAAGUGACGCCUGUGCAAUUAGAAUUUUUAUCUCAGUUUUAAUUUAUAAAUACAGAGAUAUUGGAAUAGACAAAUAAAAACUCUACAAUUUUAA
RNAcentral lists this long non-coding RNA (3279 nucleotides) under Sus scrofa (pig). Its description in RNAcentral is "lncRNA (ENSSSCG00025039636.1)". Lineage: Eukaryota; Metazoa; Chordata; Mammalia; Artiodactyla; Suidae. The record is from RNAcentral.